AUGCACCGGUGGUCGAACGCCGGCAUCGGCACGCUCCGAGGCACGGCGGUCGCCGCGCGGUCGAGGGAAGGGGACGGGGCGGUGAAUUCGCUGGCUUGGCGAACUGCGCUGGCCCACGUGGUGAGGAAGUUGCUGAAGGAGCGGCCGUCGGCUGCGUGGUGGUGGUGGAUGAUGCCGAUCACGAGGCCGCCGCACUUGUACCGGUUCAGCUUGAUCUGCAGCAGCGCCGCCCCGACGUUCUCCUGCUUGUCCCAGACGUGCCAACUGUUAGUUGCCGGUGCCCGACGUCGCCGUCCUACUGAUGAAGCUAAUUACCUCCGGCGGUGGCAGUGCAGGGUACAGGCCCUCGGUGGCGGCGGUAAAGCAGCCGUCGGCGACCACGCUCGCCAUAUCGACAGGGACCUCGGUGUCCAGGACAAGCACGCCGUCGUUGUUGAGGUAGAUGGAGCGCCUGCCUGA
This 459-nucleotide ribosomal RNA is filed under the name Triticum aestivum (bread wheat). RNAcentral describes it as "partial small subunit ribosomal RNA". Lineage: Eukaryota; Viridiplantae; Streptophyta; Magnoliopsida; Poales; Poaceae. The record is from RNAcentral.